GGCAUUUACACAGAAUCGUGUACAGGGUCGUUGACUUUUAAUCAAUUGGUCGCAGGUUCGAAUCCUGCACGACCCACCA
RNAcentral lists this transfer RNA (79 nucleotides) under Edwardsiella ictaluri. RNAcentral describes it as "tRNA-Lys". The stretch from base 25 to 76 matches the Rfam family "tRNA". From Rfam's summary of the family: Transfer RNA (tRNA) molecules are approximately 80 nucleotides in length. Their secondary structure includes four short double-helical elements and three loops (D, anti-codon, and T loops). Further hydrogen bonds mediate the characteristic L-shaped molecular structure. tRNAs have two regions of fundamental functional importance: the anti-codon, which is responsible for specific mRNA codon recognition, and the 3' end, to which the tRNAs corresponding amino acid is attached (by aminoacyl-tRNA synthetases). tRNAs cope with the degeneracy of the genetic code in two manners: having more than one tRNA (with a specific anti-codon) for a particular amino acid; and 'wobble' base-pairing, i.e. permitting non-standard base-pairing at the 3rd anti-codon position. The record is from RNAcentral. Lineage: Bacteria; Pseudomonadati; Pseudomonadota; Gammaproteobacteria; Enterobacterales; Hafniaceae.